This is a long non-coding RNA of Salvia miltiorrhiza (redroot sage), 1273 nucleotides long. RefSeq lists it as uncharacterized. Lineage: Eukaryota; Viridiplantae; Streptophyta; Magnoliopsida; Lamiales; Lamiaceae. The transcript has 4 exons. The record is from RefSeq and is a predicted model, not a curated record.
UCUUCCAUAAUUCCCAAACCUAAACCCAAUUACCCCCGUCUCUCACAUACGCUCUCCCCUCACCCAGUCACCCGCCACAAUUCGCUGUACUUCGGCCUCAACUUGGAGCCGCCGCCCCUCCCUCCGGUCUGCGAUGCGCCACACACCGGCCUCAAGCCGGCGCCGUCGUCUCUCCCUCCAGUACGGCCGAUCUGUGAUGCGCCGCACUCCAGCCCUCGCCAGCUCGCUCCGACCUGUCUCUUUCGAUUGACAACAGCAGUGCGUGACUACGCCGCCCUCACCUAGCCUUUCUGCGCCAUGCCUUCUUCGGCCUCGAUGCCUCCGUCCGGCGACGAUAUAAUACAUGGCAUUCAGAGGAGCUCAUCAAAUACGGAUUUCCUGAAGAUAUUUGUGAAUGAAUCAGCUCAAGAACAUGUGUCGUCUACUGAGAAACAUAUUCAAGAGGGUGGCGCUAUUACUGAAAAUGAUAAAAGCCACAGAGACAGGGAUGUGAAUAGUUAACUACUGGAUCAGAAUAAAAUGAUUCACAUCUGCGGCAAACUAAUUGGGGUCUUUAUGGUUUAUAAGCCUGCACCAACUGAUUGAAGAAGAUUAUUAAUUUUUAGCAAGGAAUGGAACAAUAUUCGACCCCACUUCUACACGAGAUGUCAGGACCGAGCAGAUAGUGAGAGUGAUCCCGGAAUGAAGCAUAAGCUACUUCGGCUUGCAAGGAAGCUGAAAGAGAUGGACCUAACCGGUAAGAAUGGAAUUUUGACAAUGGACCUAACCUGUAAGAUGGACCAAACACGAUCACUUUGUGAAGCUUGAGGCUUGAGGAGAAUUCUAAGGAAAUUUGUGUUUUUAGGGAAAUGAAGGAGAAAAUGAAGACGAGGAACCAGAAGAGGAAUAAAAUGUAGAAGAAGAAGAAGAAGAACUCAACGGCGGUGAUUAUGAGCAGGUAUACUAUAUGUAUACAGACGACCUCCUUGUGGACAUAUAAAUGGUGGAAACAAGUAAAUGGAGUUUUUGUUACGCACUUCAUUUCUUGCUCAUCUAAAAUAUGUCAGCUCAUUGAUUUGUCUUGCUUCUCUGCAGCUGCUUAGCUAAUGUGGUUCGAUUAAAAGAUUAUAUAUGCCCGGCCACUUGUUGCCCACAUCUUAGUAAAGGCCACAAGCUAGAAUGUAAUUUACUUGAACAUAUCAAUUUGUCCGAGUCCAUCAUACAAAAUUCAAUAACUCAUUAACUCAUGUUUGUACUUUAGUAUAUAUUGUUAUACUAUUGACCAUUCCUUCUA